Molecule: long non-coding RNA, 787 nt
Filed under: Varroa destructor (honeybee mite)
Lineage: Eukaryota; Metazoa; Arthropoda; Arachnida; Mesostigmata; Varroidae
Description: uncharacterized LOC111245951, transcript variant X1
Source: RNAcentral
UUUUCGUCCAAUUAUCAGAGAUUUUUUGAGACGCUGCUGCAUCGAUGUUCCUGGAACGAUGUGCUCGCGUGUGACAUCCUAGCUUCUUUCUAAGAUACGAGUUUCAUUAGCUAGUUACGUAUAAUUUCACUUGCUGAUUGCUAGAAUCAUCUCGAAUUUAACAAAGCAGCUGUUACGUUUCGCUAUUUGAUGAGAUAAUUUAUACUGAACAAGCUACUUGACCAUAUCCUAAAUAGAGUUACAUGAAGGUGUUGAGUUUUUUGUUCGGCGCUACAAUUACAUGUGACCUUCAGCCGGUACGAUCAAGCGAAGUAUCGGAUCGCCUGCGCAGCGGUUGCGAGAAUCUGAUCAAGUGCCCAAAAUAAGCCCGUGCUUCAAUGUCUUCAGGGGUUGUAAACACCCAUACGUGAGGACGGCACGAGCAUACUGCACUGGGAAGGACGACCGGACUUUCAGCACCAAGCGAAGCUUGAAACACUCUCACUUCGAAGCCUACCUAACGUCUGUCAGCGGUGUAAGUGUAUUCCCCGAUAGAAUAGUGCGGUCUGCAAAUACCCCACCAUUGCGCGGCUACAAGGAUACGGACAGAGUAAUGCGAACUGUGGUAGAAAGCUACUUCCUACGCCACUGCAUGACCCGCCCACGAUCUUUCACAUGUUCUUGUAGCUAGUUUUUUUUCUAUAUUAUUAAUUAUGGUCACGUUAUAUAUGCUCUAAUGACGUCGCGAUGGCCUCUCAAGCGUAAUCAAACGGACGCGACAUGAUUUCGAUGCCCGUGUGGUUUUAGC